AUGGAACAAUUCCGUUGCUGCAUCCUGGAACGGUAGUGCGUUGUUGAGUACAUACGCGAACUCGCGAACACAACAGCUCCUUCCGUCAGCCUGCGUCCGCAUCCUCCCAUCUGUUCCCACACAGAGCGGCAUAUAACGAAUCGCUCCAUGCGGAACACUGGUUAUGCGGAUAUCAAAAAUUUCCAUGACACAGGUAUUCUCAUCCGCCACCGCAGAGCCCCGCCAGGAUAACCUGUGACGGUGUGGCCUUUUACGGCGAUUUUAUCAGGGCUCACGUCAAUGCAAUAAACCCAUAAGUGCUCACGUGGUUGAGGUCGACCAUCAUUGUGUUUGUGGUGGCAUGCUUCCGGUCGUUUUCACUCGGCGCCCCCAAGCUAAGCUCUGCCAACCGAGGAAUUCGGCCCAUAACCCGGUAUCCUGCCUCGUUUCGUGGCCCUGCAGGAAAUGCUGCGCCGAUCAAAUAAAUAUCUUCAGAUCGACGUGCGGAAGACGUGAGCCACGCCCAACUCGGACCACCGAUACAACAUAUGGCCGCUCCGCAAGGAUUGCAGCAAGACAUAACCAGGGGCACGCAUUGCCCGAACACGCCUUGUGGAAAGACAUUACUAUCGUUAGCAAGAACCCGUCGGCGUGCUGCGCAAGGUUUUGCAGUCAGGUGCUUUGGGAUAGACAAGGGCACUGCCAGGGCAAGGUCCCAAGUUCCUGACGCUGGCUGGCUGUGGACCCAGAUCGCCAGGUUGCAGCCUGUUAGGAGGGCUUGACUCGGGAAAAGGACGACAGACCUCUUCCCAUGUAAACCAUGCAAUAGAGCUUUGAGCUUAUCCACCUCGGUCCAUCAAACAUGGUCUAGGGC
This 853-nucleotide long non-coding RNA is filed under the name Volvox carteri. Its description in RNAcentral is "long non-coding RNA (VCAR_LNC000516)". Lineage: Eukaryota; Viridiplantae; Chlorophyta; Chlorophyceae; Chlamydomonadales; Volvocaceae. The record is from RNAcentral.